AUGCACAACUGGUUGAUAUUCCAGUACCACCAUGUUCGCGUCCGUCCCAAUACUCUGUUGCUAAGGGGCUGUGUUGACUUCGGUCAACGCGAACCGACCCACAUUGUUGCGGGAAGCUGUAGGGGGACGCAGGAAGGUAGAUGAACCCGGUGAAUGGUAGAACCGGGGUAAGCGUGUAGGAGGAGGACCAGGUAAAUCCGGGCCUCAUAAACUCUGAGACGUGAUACCGAGCCGCUCAGGCGAAGUCAUUGAUCCUAUGCUGCCUAGAAAAGCCCAGCAGCGAGUUGACAUGGUGCCCGUACCCCAAACCAACACAGGUGGACAGGUAGAGCAUACCAAGGCGAGUGGGAUAACUAUGGUUAAGGAACUCGGCAAAUUGCCUCCGUAACUUCGGGAGAAGGAGGACCCCAGUAGCGUGAUGAUACUUGCUCUCUGAGCGUGAAGGGGUGGCACAAAAUUGAGGGAAGCGACUGUUUACCAAAAACACAGCAGCGUGCUAAGCCGUAAGGCGCUGUAUACGCUGUGACUCCUGCCCGGUGCUGGAAGGUUACGGGGAUGGGUUAGUCCUUCGGGACGAAGCUCUGAACCUAAGCCCCAGUAAACGGCGGCCGUAACUAUAACGGUCCUAAGGUAGCGAAAUUCCUUGUCGGGUAAGUUCCGACCUGCACGAAUGGAGUAACGACUUCCCUACUGUCUCAACCAUAGACCCAGCGAAAUUGAAGUACGAGUAAAGAUGCUCGUUAGCUGCAGAAGGACGGAAAGACCCCGUGGACCUUUACUAUAACUUGAUGUUGUGUUUUGUCAUAUGUUGUGUAGGAUAGGUGGGAGACUUGGAAGCAUGGACGCUAGUCUGUGUGGAGUCAUCGUUGAAAUACCACCCUGCAUAUGGUGAGGCUCUAACCUAGACCCGUUAUCCGGGUUGGGGACAGCGUCAGGCGGGUAGUUUAACUGGGGCGGUUGCCUCCUAAAGAGUAACGGAGGCGCCCAAAGGUUCCCUCAGCCUGGUUGGCAAUCAGGCGUUGAGUGCAAUGGCAAAAGGGAGCUUGACUGCGAGACCUACAAGUCGAGCAGGAGCGAGAGCUGGGCAUAGUGAUCCGGCGGUUGCGUGUGGAAGCGCCGUCGCUCAACGGAUAAAAGGUACCCCGGGGAUAACAGGCUAAUCUUGCCCAAGCGUCCAUAGCGACGGCAAGGUUUGGCACCUCGAUGUCGGCUCAUCGCAUCCUGGGGCUGAAGCAGGUCCCAAGGGUUGGGCUGUUCGCCCAUUAAAGCGGUACGCGAGCUGGGUUCAGAACGUCGUGAGACAGUUCGGUCCCUAUCCUCUGCAGCCGGAGGUGAAUUGAGGAAAGCUGUCCCUAGUACGAGAGGACCGGGACGGACGCAGCUCUCGUGUGCCAGUUGUCCUGCCAAGGGCAUGGCUGGUUAGCGACCUGCGGAAAGGAUAACCGCUGAAAGCAUCUAAGCGGGAAGCCUCUUCCAAGAUGAAUUCACCCACAGGGUUAACCUGGUAAGGCCCGUGGUAGACCACCACGUUGAUUGGCCGGAAGUGUAAGCGUGGCAACACGUUCAGCUGACCGGUACUAAUCGGCCGAGGGCUCGAA
RNAcentral lists this ribosomal RNA (1598 nucleotides) under metagenome. RNAcentral describes it as "bacterial LSU rRNA". It matches the Rfam family "Bacterial large subunit ribosomal RNA", at positions 1418 to 2925 of the family's 2925-position model. The record is from RNAcentral.